GAUGAACGCUGGCGGCGUGCCUAAUACAUGCAAGUCGAGCGAACGGACGAGAAGCUUGCUUCUCUGAUGUUAGCGGCGGACGGGUGAGUAACACGUGGAUAACCUACCUAUAAGACUGGGAUAACUUCGGGAAACCGGAGCUAAUACCGGAUAAUAUUUUGAACCGCAUGGUUCAAAAGUGAAAGUCGGUCUUUCUGUCACUUAUAGAUGGAUCCGCGCUGCAUUAGCUAGUUGGUAAGGGAACGGCCUACCAAGGCAACGAUGCAUAGCCGACCUGAUAGGGUGAGCGGCCAGACUGGAACUGAGACACGGUCCAGACGCCUACGGGAGGCAGCAGUAGGGAAUCUUCCGCAAUGGGCGAAAGCCUGACGGAGCAACGCCGCGUGAGUGAUGAAGGACUUCGGGUCGUAAAACUCUGUUAUUAGGGAAGAACAUAUGUGUGAGUAACUGGGCACAUCUUGACGGUACCUAAUCAGAGAGCCACGGCUAACUACGUG
RNAcentral lists this ribosomal RNA (497 nucleotides) under uncultured bacterium. Its description in RNAcentral is "partial 16S ribosomal RNA". It matches the Rfam family "Bacterial small subunit ribosomal RNA", at positions 28 to 507 of the family's 1533-position model. The record is from RNAcentral.